RNAcentral lists this long non-coding RNA (469 nucleotides) under Equus asinus (donkey). RNAcentral's name for it is "lncRNA (ENSEASG00005025195.1)". Lineage: Eukaryota; Metazoa; Chordata; Mammalia; Perissodactyla; Equidae. The record is from RNAcentral.
AUGAGACCAGCAAGAGUGAGAAGGCCUUGAAUGCCAGGCCAGACAUGGAGAGCGUUAGGGAACCAGAGCCAGUUUGAAAAGGCAGCUGAGAUGGGGCUGUGGAGAACUCGGAAUGCAAUCCCCACCCCCAGGAGAAGAGGAAGAAACCUCUUACUGUCUCCAGCAAGGGGCUCCCAGGGUCUGCCAGGACCACACCAUCCAACCCUAUGCUGUCAGAUCUCCCAGCUCUCCCUUCAGUGAUGAGAGGACCCGUUAGGAGCAAGCUGAAGGACCAUGGCUCCUGCCUAAGUCUUCAUCCCGUGACAGGGGAAAGAUUACCCAGCGGAUAACUUUUUAUCAUUCAAAUCUUUGCUAUCGGAUCUUCUAGAUUUCCACCUUGAAAUAUGAAAAUGAUGUUACAUGUUUCAGAGAGCGUAUCUUCUCACAUAGAGCACAGUGAUUUUGUUUUGUUUUGUUCUGUUCUGCACAG